GUUGGGAAUAUUGGACAAUGGGGGAAACCCUGAUCCAGCAAUGCCGCGUGAGUGAUGAAGGCCUUCGGGUUGUAAAGCUCUUUCAGCAGGGACGAAGGGUAACUUGACGGUACCUGCAGAAGAAGCACCGGCUAACUACGUGCCAGCAGCCGCGGUAAUACGUAGGGUGCAAGCGUUGUUCGGAAUCAUUGGGCGUAAAGCGCGUGUAGGCGGCCACUUAAGUCUGGUGUGAAAGCCCGGGGCUUAACCCCGGAAGUGCAUUGGAUACUGAGUGGCUAGAGGGCGAGAGAGGGAAGCGGAAUUCCUGGUGUAGGGGUGAAAUCCGUAGAUAUCAGGAGGAACAUCGGUGGCGAAGGCGGCUUCCUGGCUCGUUUCUGACGCUGAGACGCGAAAGCGUGGGGAGCAAACAGGAUUAGAUACCCCUGUAGUCC
RNAcentral lists this ribosomal RNA (431 nucleotides) under uncultured bacterium. Its description in RNAcentral is "bacterial SSU rRNA". It matches the Rfam family "Bacterial small subunit ribosomal RNA", at positions 354 to 796 of the family's 1533-position model. The record is from RNAcentral.